RNAcentral lists this long non-coding RNA (1251 nucleotides) under Homo sapiens (human). Its description in RNAcentral is "long intergenic non-protein coding RNA 2207". The record is from RNAcentral. Lineage: Eukaryota; Metazoa; Chordata; Mammalia; Primates; Hominidae.
AGAGGCCUCUGCUCUGCCAGCCUGGGAGUCAUCUUCACCCUCAGGCUGGUAGACUCCAGUCUCUUAGGUCAGAAUGGGAUUAGAGACCCGUUCCUGAACCAGUCACACACAGCGGGUGAAACUGCUAUGAUUGGUUUAGACUUAGAGACUGGAAUGGAUGCUGGCCUAGAAGCGAAGACACAUAGAAGCAAUGUGUACCUAGACUGUUGUCCUAAAUGCCAUUUCCUACCAGGAAGGAACCAGAGUCUUUGCAGAAAUGUAUCAUUUCACAUCUGGAUCCUUAGAAUAUACACAAAGUUUUCAUGGACCACACAUUAUGAAACACUGGAUUAGCGCAAAGUGAAAUGCUUCCAGAGUAGGAGCCACUAUUCUGAGGAAUCUUGGAAGAAAAAUCCCCAGAUAGCAGAUGACUGGUAGGAAGAUGAGGCAAGUUUGCGGUCCAUUGUCAUGGAUAGUGGAGACAACACUGGGCCAGAAGUGGUAAGACCUGAAUCCAAGACUCAGCUCUGCCACUUGCUAAAUGGGACUUUGAAUAAACCAUUUCUCUGCACUUAAGUUCCUUACCAACAAAACGAGGGAAGUGGCCUACAUGCCUAGAUAUCAACAUUUCAUGUCACGUAGAGAUCUAGCAUCACAAGAAUCCAAGUCAUCCUCUGUUGCCUUUAAGAAAUUAGAAUUAAAGGAAUCAGAAUUGAAGUGAAUCUGACUACACUAAGCCUAUCACUUGUGACAGCCAUGGGAAGAUAUCAUUGGUUGCUGAGGAGCAGAAAUAAGCAGAGACCUAUUGUGUUAGGUUAUCAUUCAUUUCAGACAAAAAGCAGAUCAGCAAGUUUUCAUAUUGCACUAUUUUCAAUGGCUGGAGCAUCAACAUUUUACAACAAGAAAAAAAUUAAAAUUCUUCAACAUUUGGAAAAGAAGUGUUUGUAAAACUUUUCACAUCCAUUCACCAUCCGGAAAAGCAAGGUUUUACAGUGAGGCCUGAUGAUGUCUAGAGUCACCAUGCAUCUUGGAAAAUGACCUCCUAUUUAUUUCUUCUACAGGACACCAUGGUGUUCACCUUUCUACAACUUUACACUUGCUGAGGACAUAUUGUGGAAAAUUAAGAGAAAUAUAUAUGGAUGGCCAAGGCUGUAGAUGGAUGUCCAAGCCUUUUUACUGGGGAAUGUUUUCAGAACAAAAUGAGUUACAGGUUCAAGAGUGAAACCCAACAAAUCUUGGCUCUUUUUUUCUCUACUAAAUUCCAAAUCAAAA